Molecule: ribosomal RNA, 547 nt
Filed under: fungal sp. SNB- LAP1-7-80
Lineage: Eukaryota; Fungi
Description: eukaryotic LSU rRNA
Source: RNAcentral
AACCUCMCAUCCGUGUCUAUUGUACCCUGUUGCUUCGGCGGGCCCGCCGCUUGUCGGCCGCCGGGGGGGCGCCUCUGCCCCCCGGGCCCGUGCCCGCCGGAGACCCCAACACGAACACUGUCUGAAAGCGUGCAGUCUGAGUUGAUUGAAUGCAAUCAGUUAAAACUUUCAACAAUGGAUCUCUUGGUUCCGGCAUCGAUGAAGAACGCAGCGAAAUGCGAUAACUAAUGUGAAUUGCAGAAUUCAGUGAAUCAUCGAGUCUUUGAACGCACAUUGCGCCCCCUGGUAUUCCGGGGGGCAUGCCUGUCCGAGCGUCAUUGCUGCCCUCAAGCCCGGCUUGUGUGUUGGGUCGCCGUCCCCCUCUCCGGGGGGACGGGCCCGAAAGGCAGCGGCGGCACCGCGUCCGAUCCUCGAGCGUAUGGGGCUUUGUCACAUGCUCUGUAGGAUUGGCCGGCGCCUGCCGACGUUUUCCAACCAUUCUUUCCAGGUUGACCUCGGAUCAGGUAGGGAUACCCGCUGAACUUAAGCAUAUCAAUAAGCGGAGGAA